UUGCACGCUGGCGGAAUGCUUUACCCAUGCAAGUCGAGCGGCAGCGCGGCCUUCGGGCUGGCGGCGAGCGGCGAACGGGUGAGUAAUGCAUCGGAACAUGCCCAGUCGUGGGGGAUAACACUUCGAAAGAAGUGCUAAUACCGCAUACGUCCUGAGGGGGAAAGCGGGGGAUCGCAAGACCUCGCGCGAUUGGAGUGGCCGAUGUCAGAUUAGCUAGUUGGUGGGGUAAAGGCCUACCAAGGCGACGAUCUGUAGCUGGUCUGAGAGGAUGAUCAGCCACACUGGGACUGAGACACGGCCCAGACUCCUACGGGAGGCAGCAGUGAGGAAUUUUGGACAAUGGGGGCAACCCUGAUCCAGCCAUUCCGCGUGAGUGAAGAAGGCCUUCGGGUUGUAAAGCUCUUUCGGCAGGAACGAAACGGUGGGCUCUAACAUAGUCCGCUAAUGACGGUACCUGAAGAAGAAGCACCGGCUAACUACGUG
RNAcentral lists this ribosomal RNA (483 nucleotides) under uncultured bacterium. RNAcentral describes it as "partial 16S ribosomal RNA". It matches the Rfam family "Bacterial small subunit ribosomal RNA", at positions 30 to 507 of the family's 1533-position model. The record is from RNAcentral.